Molecule: transfer RNA, 73 nt
Filed under: Deinococcus daejeonensis
Lineage: Bacteria; Thermotogati; Deinococcota; Deinococci; Deinococcales; Deinococcaceae
Description: tRNA-Arg
Source: RNAcentral
CGGCCUCGUGGAUGGCGAGGAGGUCGCCGGGCUGCGGAUCGGGCAGGGUGAGGUCGCGCCCCAGGAGGUCGCC